RNAcentral lists this ribosomal RNA (1372 nucleotides) under uncultured bacterium. Its description in RNAcentral is "bacterial SSU rRNA". It matches the Rfam family "Bacterial small subunit ribosomal RNA", at positions 28 to 1381 of the family's 1533-position model. The record is from RNAcentral.
GAUGAACGCUGGCGGCGUGCCUAAUACAUGCAAGUCGAGCGAACGGACGAGAAGCUUGCUUCUCUGAUGUUAGCGGCGGACGGGUGAGUAACACGUGGAUAACCUACCUAUAAGACUGGGAUAACUUCGGGAAACCGGAGCUAAUACCGGAUAAUAUUUUGAACCGCAUGGUUCAAAAGUGAAAGACGGUCUUGCUGUCACUUAUAGAUGGAUCCGCGCUGCAUUAGCUAGUUGGUAAGGUAACGGCUUACCAAGGCAACGAUGCAUAGCCGACCUGAGAGGGUGAUCGGCCACACUGGAACUGAGACACGGUCCAGACUCCUACGGGAGGCAGCAGUAGGGAAUCUUCCGCAAUGGGCGAAAGCCUGACGGAGCAACGCCGCGUGAGUGAUGAAGGUCUUCGGAUCGUAAAACUCUGUUAUUAGGGAAGAACAUAUGUGUAAGUAACUGUGCACAUCUUGACGGUACCUAACCAGAAAGCCACGGCUAACUACGUGCCAGCAGCCGCGGUAAUACGUAGGUGGCAAGCGUUAUCCGGAAUUAUUGGGCGUAAAGCGCGCGUAGGCGGUUUUUUAAGUCUGAUGUGAAAGCCCACGGCUCAACCGUGGAGGGUCAUUGGAAACUGGAAAACUUGAGUGCAGAAGAGGAAAGUGGAAUUCCAUGUGUAGCGGUGAAAUGCGCAGAGAUAUGGAGGAACACCAGUGGCGAAGGCGACUUUCUGGUCUGUAACUGACGCUGAUGUGCGAAAGCGUGGGGAUCAAACAGGAUUAGAUACCCUGGUAGUCCACGCCGUAAACGAUGAGUGCUAAGUGUUAGGGGGUUUCCGCCCCUUAGUGCUGCAGCUAACGCAUUAAGCACUCCGCCUGGGGAGUACGACCGCAAGGUUGAAACUCAAAGGAAUUGACGGGGACCCGCACAAGCGGUGGAGCAUGUGGUUUAAUUCGAAGCAACGCGAAGAACCUUACCAAAUCUUGACAUCCUUUGACAACUCUAGAGAUAGAGCCUUCCCCUUCGGGGGACAAAGUGACAGGUGGUGCAUGGUUGUCGUCAGCUCGUGUCGUGAGAUGUUGGGUUAAGUCCCGCAACGAGCGCAACCCUUAAGCUUAGUUGCCAUCACUAAGUUGGGCACUCUAAGUUGACUGCCGGUGACAAACCGGAGGAAGGUGGGGAUGACGUCAAAUCAUCAUGCCCCUUAUGAUUUGGGCUACACACGUGCUACAAUGGACAAUACAAAGGGCAGCGAAACCGCGAGGUCAAGCAAAUCCCAUAAAGUUGUUCUCAGUUCGGAUUGUAGUCUGCAACUCGACUACAUGAAGCUGGAAUCGCUAGUAAUCGUAGAUCAGCAUGCUACGGUGAAUACGUUCCCGGGUCU